GAUGAAGAACGCAGUGAAAUGCGAUAAGUAAUGUGAAUUGCAGAAUUCAGUGAAUCAUCGAAUCUUUGAACGCACAUUGCGCCCAUUAGUAUUCUAGUGGGCAUGCCUGUUCGAGCGUCAUUUCAACCCUUAAGCCUCUGUUGCUUAGCGUUGGGAGCCUACCUACCCGGUAGAUCCUCAAAGUUAGCUGGCAGGGUCGAGGUUCGCCCUAAGCGUAGUAGUUCUUUCUCGCUUCUGCGGCUGCCUAGGCCAUCGCCACAAGCCUUUUAAACUUCAAUGGUUGACCUCGGAUCAGGUAGGAAUACCCGCUGAACUUAAGCAUAUCAAUAAGCGGAGGA
This 338-nucleotide unclassified non-coding RNA is filed under the name soil metagenome. RNAcentral describes it as "partial contains 5.8S ribosomal RNA, internal transcribed spacer 2, and large subunit ribosomal RNA". The stretch from base 1 to 120 matches the Rfam family "5.8S ribosomal RNA", at positions 35 to 154 of the family's 154-position model. The record is from RNAcentral.